Molecule: ribosomal RNA, 636 nt
Filed under: Rotylenchulus reniformis
Lineage: Eukaryota; Metazoa; Nematoda; Chromadorea; Rhabditida; Hoplolaimidae
Description: SSU rRNA
Rfam family: Eukaryotic small subunit ribosomal RNA
Source: RNAcentral
GGCGGUCAGAUACCGGCCUAGUUCUGACCGUAAACGAUGCCAACUAGCGAUCCGCCAGUCGACUCAUCGCUCUGGUGGGGAGCUUCCCGGAAACGAAAGUCUUCCGGUUCCGGGGGAAGUAUGGUUGCAAAGCUGAAACUUAAAGGAAUUGACGGAAGGGCACCACCAGGAGUGGAGCCUGCGGCUUAAUUUGACUCAACACGGGGAAACUCACCCGGCCCGGAUACCGUAAGGAUUGACAGAUUGAUAGCUUUUUCAUGAUUCGGUGGAUGGUGGUGCAUGGCCGUUCUUAGUUCGUGGAGCGAUUUGUCUGGUUUAUUCCGAUAACGAGCGAGACUCUGGCCUACUAAAUAGUUGACGCAUUGCCACUGUGCGCACAACUUCUUAGAGGGAUUUUCGGUGUUUUCAACCGCACGAAAUUGAGCAAUAACAGGUCUGUGAUGCCCUUAGAUGUCCGGGGCUGCACGCGCGCUACACUGGCAAACGCAACGUGCCUGUCCUGCCCCGAAAGGAGCGGGUAAACCCCUGAAAUUUUGCCGUGAUUGGGAUCGGACAUUGCAACUAUUGUCCGUGAACGAGGAAUUCCUUGUAGGGGCGAGUCAUCAACUCGUCCCGAAUACGUCCCUGCCCUUUGUA